Molecule: ribosomal RNA, 460 nt
Filed under: uncultured bacterium
Lineage: Bacteria
Description: partial 16S ribosomal RNA
Rfam family: Bacterial small subunit ribosomal RNA
Source: RNAcentral
CCUACGGGAGACAGCAGUGAGGAAUAUUGGUCAAUGGCCGUAAGGCUGACCCAGCCAAGUCGCGUGAAGGAAGAAGGAUCUCUGGUUUGUAACCUUCUUUUAUAGGGGAGUAAAGGUAUCCACGUGUGGAUCUUUGCAUGUACCCUAUGAAUAAGCAUCGGCUAACUCCGUGCCAGCAGCCGCGGUAAUACGGAGGGUGCGAGCGUUAUCCGGAUUUAUUGGGUUUAAGGGGUGCGUAGGUUGUUUUUUAAGUCAGCGGUGAAAGUUUGUGGCUCAACCAUAAAAUUGCCGUUGAAACUGGAAAACUGGAGUGUGUUUGAGGUAGGCGGAAUUCGAGGUGUAGGAGUGAAAUGCAUAGAUAUCACGCAGAACUCCGAUUGCGAAGGCAGCUUACUAAGCCAUAACUGACACUGAGGCACGAAAGCGUGGGGAGCAAACAGGAUUAGAUACCCUAGUAGUC